GAGUUUGAUCGUGGCUCAGAUUGAACGCUGGCGGUAUGCUUAACACAUGCAAGUCGAACGGUAACAGGCUAGCUUGCUAGCGCUGACGAGUGGCGGACGGGUGCGUAACGCGUAGGAAUCUGCCUAUUAGUGGGGGACAACCUGGUGAAAACCAGGCUAAUACCGCAUACGCCUACGGGGAAAGGCAGGGGAGUCUUCGGACCUUGCGCUAAUAGAUGAGCCUGCGUUAGAUUAGCUUGUUGGUGAGGUAAUGGCUCACCAAGGCGACGAUCUAUAGCUGGUCUGAGAGGACGAUCAGCCACACUGGGACUGAGACACGGCCCAGACUCCUACGGGAGACAGCAGUGGGGAAUAUUGGACAAUGGGCGGAAGCCUGAUCCAGCAAUACCGCGUGUGUGAAGAAGGCCGUGAGGGUUGUAAAGCACUUUCAAUUGGGAGG
RNAcentral lists this ribosomal RNA (439 nucleotides) under uncultured microorganism. RNAcentral describes it as "bacterial SSU rRNA". It matches the Rfam family "Bacterial small subunit ribosomal RNA", at positions 9 to 447 of the family's 1533-position model. The record is from RNAcentral.